Molecule: ribosomal RNA, 775 nt
Filed under: uncultured Neocallimastigales
Lineage: Eukaryota; Fungi; Neocallimastigomycota; Neocallimastigomycetes; Neocallimastigales
Description: partial large subunit ribosomal RNA
Rfam family: Eukaryotic large subunit ribosomal RNA
Source: RNAcentral
UAUGUGAUCGUCUCUCGCAUAUCAAUAAGCGGAGGAAAAGAAACUAACAAGGAUUCCCCUAGUAACGGCGAGUGAAGCGGGAAGAGCUCAAAUUUGAAAUCUUAAAGGGUUUCCCUUUACGAAUUGUAGUUUAAAGAAGUGUUUUCUGUUGAGGUUUUGGUAAAAGUUCUUUGGAAUAGGACAUCAUAGAGGGUGAGAAUCCCGUAUUUGACCUUUACUUUCAACUUUGUGAUACACUUUCAAAGAGUCGGAUUGUUUGGGAAUGCAGUCCAAAAUGGGUGGUAAAUUUCAUCUAAAGCUAAAUAUUGGCGAGAGACCGAUAGCGAACAAGUACCGUGAGGGAAAGAUGAAAAGAACUUUGAAAAGAGAGUUAAACAGUACGUGAAAUUGUCAAAAGGGAAGCGUUUGGACACCAGUGUUGUUUUUCUGAAAAUCAAUUAAAGAACUGUUUAUGCUAAGCUGUUUAGACUUUAUCAGCUAUCUGUUUAGUUUUGAGCUUUUCUUUAAUGCACUUUUCAGUUAACAAGUCAACAUCAAUUUCUUUUGCUGUAAAAAAGCUUGAGGAAGGUGGCUUGAGAUUCGUCUUAAGUGUUUAUAGCCUCUUGCCUAUGCAGUCGGAGAGAUUGAGGUCUGCAGCGUAGAUCCUUCGGGGCUAAAUGCAUUUGUGCUAAGUUAUAGCAUUUUAUAGACAACUUGUUGACUAUGAUUUGUCUUGUAGCUUACUCGCUUAUGUUAUUUUACCUACGCUUAGGAUGUUGAUCUACAGAGCGAGAGU